RNAcentral lists this ribosomal RNA (410 nucleotides) under uncultured bacterium. RNAcentral's name for it is "bacterial SSU rRNA". It matches the Rfam family "Bacterial small subunit ribosomal RNA", at positions 18 to 430 of the family's 1533-position model. The record is from RNAcentral.
CAUGGCUCAGAUUGAACGCUGGCGGCAGGCCUAACACAUGCAAGUCGAGCGGAUGAAGAGAGCUUGCUCUCUGAUUCAGCGGCGGACGGGUGAGUAAUGCCUAGGAAUCUGCCUGGUAGUGGGGGACAACGUUUCGAAAGGAACGCUAAUACCGCAUACGUCCUACGGGAGAAAGUGGGGGAGUCUUCGGACCUCACGCUAUCAGAUGAGCCUAGGUACGAUUAGCUAGUUGGUGAGGUAAAGGCUCACCAAGGCGACGAUCGUUAACUGGUCUGAGAGGAUGAUCAGUCACACUGGAACUGAGACACGGUCCAGACUCCUACGGGAGGCAGCAGUGGGGAAUAUUGGACAAUGGCGAAAGCCUGAUCCAGCCAUGCCGCGUGUGUGAAGAAGGUCUUCGGAUUGUAAAG